Molecule: transfer RNA, 81 nt
Organism: Punctularia strigosozonata HHB-11173 SS5
Lineage: Eukaryota; Fungi; Basidiomycota; Agaricomycetes; Corticiales; Punctulariaceae
Rfam family: tRNA
About the family: Transfer RNA (tRNA) molecules are approximately 80 nucleotides in length. Their secondary structure includes four short double-helical elements and three loops (D, anti-codon, and T loops).
Source: Rfam
GGCUCUGUAGUGUAGAGGUUAUCACUCAAGAUUCUGAAUUCUGGCUUUCUUGAAACCCAGGUUCGAGUCCUGGCAGGGCCU